This 198-nucleotide ribosomal RNA is filed under the name uncultured prokaryote. RNAcentral's name for it is "partial 16S ribosomal RNA". It matches the Rfam family "Bacterial small subunit ribosomal RNA", at positions 525 to 722 of the family's 1533-position model. The record is from RNAcentral.
ACGUAGGGUGCGAGCGUUAAUCGGAAUUACUGGGCGUAAAGCGUGCGCAGGCGGUUCGCUAAGACAGGUGUGAAAUCCCCGGGCUUAACCUGGGAAUGGCGCUUGAGGCUGGCGGGCUGGAGUACGGCAGAGGGGAGUGGAAUUCCAGGUGUAGCAGUGAAAUGCGUAGAGAUCGGGAGGAACACCGAUGGCGAAGGC